CGCCUAUUACAAUAUAUGAUCGAUUUGUCAUAUCAGAUUAACCUCCGUCAACAUGUUGAGAAUAAUGAAUAAAUAGAAUGAUAAUUAAAUACUAAAUAAGAAUUAAAAAUUCAAAGUCGACCACCAAACAUAGAUUAUUAUUAUUAUUAUUAUUAUUAUUAAUAUUAUUAUUAUUGUCAACCGCACAAUUUUCAUUCGGCAGCGGCAGGGCCCUCAUCAGCCUUGCUUCGAAGUUUGUCAAAUCCCUCUGGAGUUCAUUAAACUGCCUUUAAGUUCCCGUAAGGACUCGAUAUGAAUUUUCUUGUACGAAUCUGGAUCAACCAUAUUUGUAAGUGUAGUAGAAUGAAUGAACGAGUAAGGAGGGACCUAUUUAUAAAUGAUUGAAUUGGAAGGGGUUAGUAAAAAAAAAACCACGACUGUUCAUAUCCUUUAAUAAAAUAAAACUGGUGGCUUCUUGAAUAUGCAAAAAAAAAAAAUUGGAUCUAAAUACAACAUUUUUAUCUUUUAUUGUAUUUUGGAAAGAAAAGAAAAUUACUUUAACAUAAAUCUAACAGGUGGGUAAUUUGGUGCAAAAUAUAUUCCAUCUGUUAGAUAACUUACAACAUAUUGACAUUCUGUUGCAACAGAUGGAUAUAUCUGUUUGAUUUUUCCAAAAUAUAUGGCAUAUGUUGCAACAGGUUGAUCAUCUAUCGGUUGAGUUGUCUGCAAUUGUUUGACAAUUUAAAUAGAUGUGGCAUUUGUUGCAACUAGCUAGUCAUCUGUUUAUUCAAUUUAAGUCCUAGAUGGGGCCAGGAAGAAUAAGGUGCAUGCAGAUGGAUCUACUAUUGAUACAGAAGAGACUAGGAACUCAUGAAAUAACACCAAAAAAGUCCACUCAACAAGGCACAAACCGAGGACCCUUUGGGAGCUAGUUUUCAGCCAAGAACAAGAAUAGAGUUUGACGAGUUAACAAGGUGUUGGUGACACCAAAAUCAGCCGACCAAUCUAAGUUACAACACAAUAUAAUGAACAACAAAAAACAACGACAAUGUUAUAACAAGACAACACCACAUGGCUUACAACACAAGAUACAAACUACUACAAGAUGAAAACAAAUAAAAGGAUAGAUAGAUAGACAAAGGUGGUAUAAAUCCUAAGAACCAAAAAGUAUAUUUUAACACCUCAUAGCCUUUUCUUUGUGAGAUCCUUCAAGAGCAAACAUGGUCAUAUCUAUUCUUCUUGUCCAAUAAAAGAAAAUGAUCAGGUUGGUAAAUAAGGAAUACAUAUAAAUACAAUAAAAAGUAAAGCUCACCUAUGAUGACAGAAUUCUGUUGGAGAACUUUGAAUGUGUUCACUUUACCAAAUGAAGAAAAAAAAAAAAGAGAAGAGAAGGCAUACAGUAGAGUGUGGUGACUGUGACAGUGAAAGAACAACCAUGUGUGAGCUGGUAGUGCCAGAGUUUGAUGAUAAUCU
RNAcentral lists this long non-coding RNA (1452 nucleotides) under Capsicum annuum. RNAcentral's name for it is "long non-coding RNA (CANN_LNC006186)". Lineage: Eukaryota; Viridiplantae; Streptophyta; Magnoliopsida; Solanales; Solanaceae. The record is from RNAcentral.